UGCCUCAUAGUGCGCAUGCUUGAGCCCACUUACCUAACACCUGAGAUCUUAUUGGGACGCUGCUGAUAACCAGUUUCAGAGACAGGGUUUCACCAUGUUGUACAGGCUAGUCUCCAACCCCUGGGCUUAAGCAAUCCUUCUGCCUCGGCCUCCCAAAGUGCUGGGAUUACAGAAUAAAGUGCUACAUAAAAUUUAGCAUUGAGGUUUUAAUCUUAAUUUUCAAAGAGAUACUACAGUCUAUCCAAGUUAACGUAACAUUACUUUCUCAAUGAUCACAAUGAUACUGGGAGUUGACGAGGCUUGUAACAAUCUACUGGGAUGAUGUGAGCCUUUAUUAACCUCAUCAGGUGAGAUGUGAUGUUUUACCCACACGAGCUGGUUAGCAUUUACAGUAAAGGGCACUUACACUGCACUCUUAAUACUUAUCUUUAUUAUGAAAGUGUUUCCAAAGUAAAAUGAUCCUCAUAAUAAUGAUUGCUUCCAGAGAUCAAGAAUGAAUAAUUAUAUUUUCAUAUAAAAAUCAGCAAAACACAAUAACAAUACAUAAAAUAAUUCUAAUUGGCUAACAGUAUUUCAUUCCAUUUCUGACAGAGAUGCUCAAGCACUGAAUUGUCUUAAGAAAACAAGUAAGGUUUUGUCACCUAUCCUAUUUCUCACUGCAAGUUGAAAAAAAUCAAAUCCAAACACCACCACCCCUUCUAUGACAACAAACGGCUGUGGAGGUAAAUGACUAUGUGGGCAAAGAGUUGAUGAAAAUCAUGAGCUUAGGGGCUUUAUGAAACUUUGGGAAAUCAAACUCAGAGGUUGUUUUCCAUUCUUAAAGUAAUGAAGCUCUAAGUUAAAGUUUCAGAAUCAUCACAUAACUGUUCCUAUUCCAUAACUCAUUUCUUUUUUUUUUUUGCAGGUAAUCUUAUUUUCCUAAGGGUAGUUUCAUGAUGACAGUGUCAAAAAAUUACUGUGGAUAAAGAAAAAAUUGUCUCAAUGAAAUAGAAUUUUUCACUGAACACAGAAACCAUCUCAAUAGUUGCUGCUCCCUGGUUUCCAGGCCACGCAACAGACAUCAAACCAGGAAGCCAAACUUUCAUGGACCUGUGUUAAGAAAAACACACAUACAUGGGCAUACUACUUUUUCCAGAAAAACGGAAUUAGGCAGAGAAGGAAGUGUGGGUGUACAACUGAUCCACAAGCUAUUGGGAAAUCAAUAGCUAAAAAAUGUCCACACCCUGGCUUCCUUUUAUCAGGAACUCCAGGAGGCUGAAGGAAUGUGAGUGCAUGAGAUAAGCAAGACAGAUCUUAACGGUCCCCUCACAUCCCUUUCUGGGCAAUCUCCAGAAUGCCUAGUUUUGUGGAGACACCAUGUACUAUCUGGCUGCAGAGACUUUCUUAGGUCCCGUGUUAGACCCCAUGGGGUCUCAGCAUGUGGUCAUGUGGUAAUGCAUUCCUUUCAAAGGCUUUGGGUUGAACUCAAGUUGGAAAUACCUGGAAAAGACCAAGCUUCUCCUUUGGGUGUCUGCGGAUCCUAUUAAAAAUAUUCGUGAUGUUUUAAGUUCUCCAAUACAAUUUUCUCCACGAAAACAAGCAUCAGAUACACUACCUCUAAGUAUUUAUUGGAGGGGUUCCAACAGCCUCGUGGACAGGCCUUCUCAGCAGCUACUGAGUGCCCCCUAGGGGUGGGGAGGGGCCAGUGCACAUGGAGGCAAACCACAGAGCCCUUUUGUGGCCUAUUAUUAUGAAGAACUAAAAUGUGGCCAGUGAACCAGUCAGUGCUCAUCACUACGGGGUACUUUGACAAUGGCACAAUUUCAUUUUACCAAAAGAAACCUUCACUGGCUCUGGGGACUGCAAUAUCUUCAUUUUAAAAUAUUUUGCUGCGUUUUCUUCAAGGGCGGCUUGUGACAACUGAACUGCUGAUUAUUCCUUCCAUGGACAGCAUGGUAGUGGCAAGUGCAGUAACUGGGCUCAUUGCAUUUUCUCUUUCCAUACAAGUUACUGCAACUGCCAUGUGAUCACUUUUCCAGCAGGCUGACUUCGAUUUGAUUUUUUUCUUAUUUAAAUGUUAGAAACAUCUCAGGGCUAUUAUUAUUUAUCUACAAAGCAGAAAUCAGCCAAAGACAAAGGAAAAAAGUAAGCUAAUCAGAACCUGAAGACCUGAAAUACCACAUGAAAUGUAAACAUUUAACUUUUUAUUUCCAAAGGAUUUCUUGAAGCCUCUCUGGAGAUAAUGACAUCACCACACAUACUGUUAAACAAUCUUUUAAUACCUUUGGAAUUACUCUUUAUAAUUUUUAUACUUCAAAUUAAGAAAACCGCCCAAUGUUCAGGCAACUUUGGCAUUAACAUUUCCAAGAAAGGGACAAAAACAACUAUUAAUGCAACAUCAUGAAGAGAUUGGGGACAAUUGUGGGUGUCUAUAAAGCUCUCUUUGAAAAGCUCUUUAAAGCGAACUCAGGUAAAUGGAAAUGAAAUCUGACUUUUUACUUAGGCCAAAUAACAAUGAGGUUUGAAUAUAAAAUGGAAGAUUCAGGCCCUUUCUACCUAAGAUGAAGGCAUUUAGUUUGCUCAAAUUCAAACUCCACCAAAUACUCUGAAUGGAAAGUUUGGCAACAGAACUGGACAUGUGGAGGUUCACCAACCAUUUUGAUCAAAGGUGAUCUGAUUUUAUCUCACUUCUUGCCUAACCUUUCUGGCUUCUUUACCUUGACUAGAUGCCUGUGGCAUUAUAUAAUGAUGCAGCCCAGCAGAAGUAGGAUGCUAAUAAACCCUGGGGUAAAGCAGCAAUCAUCUGCAUUUUUACCACAUACACUUGAAUAAUCCAAAAUACUGAGAGUUGCUUCCCUAUGCUCAACAUCCAUAGGACCAAAUUUGGAAAGGUGAACUGUAGUUGGCUUAUAUGCUGGCCUUAGGUGCUCUUAUGACCUGUGCUUAGCCAUAUUUAGCUCACUGGCUAAGAGGCUGAAAAGAUUCUACCACCUUCAGGUGUGUGGGGAACAUGAACAGGAGGCUGACAAACAAGGAGGGAAGUUUCUAUUGUACCUGGUGAGUGGGUUUUAUGAAAAGAAUAUGGGUAGGGAUGAGUCAGUGAUAUUUUGGUUUUAUCACUUUUUGGAGAAACAUACAUAUAUAUACAUAAAUAGAACACAUGUUUUUAUAUCAUUUAUUGACCUGAGGCCAAAUUCUACUCGAUUUUCUACUUUCCCCCUACUAAGAGAUCCAGAAAAGCUAUUAACAUUAGAGAAUAAAGUAUUACUUCUUCUGGAAUCCUUUCUACAUACCCCUUUGUACUCUGGGAAGGUUUGAAUGUGACCAGGAAGGAGGAGAUAUCAACACAGGCUAAGUUAAUUAACGAAAAACAGCAUUCUGACUAACCUAUAGUUGAAUUUACAAAAUACACUUCAAAGCUAUGGCCUGGUACAGGGGGAGGAUGAGAUACUGCACAUAUUUUUCUCUCUCAGCCUUAUCAGGCUACCAUGGGAAAGCUAUAGACAGAGAUAUAUUAUUCUUCACCAUAAAAAGCCUGCAAACCCCAUUUUAAUUAGCCCCAAAGAACUGUGCCCUAAAAUGUAAAAUGAAAUAAAAAUCUCUGGAUAACAUAGACGACUGUGUGAAGUGAAUGCCAUCAGUUAGAGAGACCCCAAGUGUUCCCAGUUCUCCUUCUAAGUAACUUCUGGGGGGAAAAAUGAUUGCUUAGAUUUGCCUUUGCUAAUGACAGACCCCAUUUACUACGUUUUAUGCAAUUCUUCUAAACCUUUAAUUUACAAGAUGACCUCCUUGAAAUUAUUCUUCUGUGCUCGAGUGUCAUAUGAUCUAAACCUGAACACAUGGAUCUCUAAAGUUAAUUUUAGCCAUUGAGAGGACUUGCCCCAGACACUAAAGCAAGCUAAAUAUGUUCAUAUUUUAAUUAAGAAACUUUUACCUUCUCAAAAUUUUCAGCUGUAAUAUGCUAUUACCUUAUACAUAUACUUGCAUUUUAGCAGAUGUUCUGGAGACUAACAAGUCCUUUUAUGAUUGUUCUUACAAACUCAACCAUCCACAAAUUACACUCCUAGACAUAUGCCUGUUUUGUGAAAUAAAAUAACAAGGCUCUAAAAGCAGAAUUAUUUGCAUCGUUUUCUCAAUAAACAAGCAGAUGUAUUUCUAAGCCUCUUCAAUUAUUACUAAGGACCAUAACAGAAACAUAUUAUUUUGUAAAUAAGUAGGGCAAGAUAUAAUAUUACGGUAAGAAUUUUUUGGUUGGGAACAUUCUUUUAACUAUUAACCCACAGAUUGCAAAUUGUGGGCAAAAAGCUUUAAUUUUUUCCAAGAAUUGAAUUAAAUGUGAAUGGUUCUGAGCAGGAUACGCACUCUCUGGUGUUUCUGCACGCUUGUUAGCAUUUCUGCUGUUGUCUUCACAGCCCUGAUUCACACAUUUAUAUUAUGGCAUUUUUGUUUGGGGUUCGUUCUAAGUGAUGGCCUUCUUGAUUUAUGAAGGGUUUUAUAAUCCCUUUUUCCUCUUACUAAAAGUUAGAAGAAGAGAUAAAAUCUUUGGCUGACAUAUGGUUUUCUUAUCUGUACAUAAAUAACACUGCUAUGUAGGAGACUUAUGGAAACUUAUUCUUCAGUAAUUUUCCUCAUUGUUGAUAUUGCCAUUGUCCAAUAGAAUUUUUCAUUUUUCCAGAAACAGCCCCAUUUGAAAAAAAUUCCUGGAAACCAAAGAAGCAUUGUAGUGUAAUGCUGCUCAGUGUUUAGUAACAGGAAAGUCAUCUGGAUUACGUUUAAGGAGAAAAGCAAAGGGUAAAAUAGUCUUUCUCCCAUUGGCUUUAUUUUGCUCAGCAAAAUAAAAACAUCAACAUCAAGUACUAGAUAGGGCUUUUUCUUGAAAGCUGGUUGCAUUAAAGUGCUCUGCACUGCACAGGUAAUCUUUAUCAACUCUUGAAAUAUUUUUUUGUCCCCAAAUAUAGUUAACUUCUUUCUUUUAUAACAUAAGACUGCACUAAUUAUAGGGUAGUGGCAAAACCUGGCUGAAAUCAGUUGCUCUCUUUAUGUUAUUCCCAGAACACAGGACAAAUUCCCAUUCUUAACAGUGAUUUCCUUGUUUAUAACUAUGAGCUUCAGUGAAUAUCCUCCUUCAAAAUCAGAGCACUGACCUCAUCACAGAGAAAAACAAACAAACAAACAAAUACACUCUGCAACCUACAAGGUUAACCCUCAACUAGCUCACACCCAUUGAAGAAAUCUUGGCUGUGUGCACAAGAAAUGAAAUCUAUUUCAAAGCAAUUUAAUACAAAACCAUUCAAAAAAGUUCUCCAAUAACCAUCUUCUUUAAUUUGAACUGCUAAUUGAACAUGAAGAGUGAAAAUUAAACACCUAGUUCGUCCGGUUUAAAUGGUCACUAAGACUGUAUAGGCAAUUUCAAAAUGGGCACUGUAACUAAAAGAAAGCAAACCUAUUUAGAGCUGAACGAGACUCUUGCACUGGGUUUUGCUUGCUCUAAGUGACAAAGUAAGCUGAUGCUCAUAGCACAUUGGACUACAGCAAGAGAAAGGGGGAGAAGCAGAUGGAGCAUCUCCUUCACUGUCAUGAGCCCAGUGAGUAAAAGGAGUGAGGAAACCCUCUUUUGUCCACAGAUUUACAAAUACAAAAAAAUAAAUAAUAUUCUAAGACAGUACAAAUGCAAAUACUGUUCCCUUGUGUCAAUUACAUACAGCAUGCCUACAAAGAGAGAAUGGUAAUUCUUCUUCAUUCACAGACAGGACACAUGGCAGUGCACUAUUCAAAAUGCUUUGAUAAUCUUAAUUUUUGUUUCUGGUGCUGAGAUAUUAUGAAAGGAACUGCAUUUGCAACUUAUUAAAUACUUCCAGGAACAAAUAGUUCACUUUGCUUGGGACUUGUAGUUUUGAGUAAUUAAUCAUCCAUGGAGCAGGAGCCAGUCAGGAGAUACCCGUUGGUACCACUGGUCCCAUUGGUGGUUGUCGCAGUGUGGGGAUUCUUUCCCGGAGGUUCUGAGUCCUCCUCAUCUGAGCUAGACUCAAUAUCACUUCGAUCAUCCUUGGACACCUGUGGAGUAGAAGCAGGUGAGUAUAACCAGCACCUAAGAAAUCAUCAAGGUAUGGCAUGCUAGAAGCAC
This 6103-nucleotide long non-coding RNA is filed under the name Homo sapiens (human). RNAcentral describes it as "PREDICTED lncRNA (TCONS_00162475)". The record is from RNAcentral. Lineage: Eukaryota; Metazoa; Chordata; Mammalia; Primates; Hominidae.